CGGUCUCAGUUGGAUUGAAGGCUGAAAUUCGCCUUCAUGAAGCUGGAAUUGCUAGUAAUGGCAGGUCAGCAUACUGCCGUGAAUACGUUCCCGGGCCUUGUACACACCGCCCGUCACACCAUGAGAGUUGGGAAUACCCGAAGCCUGUGAGCUAACUGUAAGGAGGCAGCAGUCGAAGGUAGAAUCAAUGAUUGGGGUGAAGUCGUAACAAGGUAAC
RNAcentral lists this ribosomal RNA (217 nucleotides) under uncultured bacterium. RNAcentral describes it as "partial 16S ribosomal RNA". It matches the Rfam family "Bacterial small subunit ribosomal RNA", at positions 1283 to 1500 of the family's 1533-position model. The record is from RNAcentral.